Pelodiscus sinensis (Chinese soft-shelled turtle) is the source of this 81-nucleotide microRNA precursor. NCBI's taxonomy places the organism in Eukaryota, Metazoa, Chordata, Testudines, Trionychidae. The record is from Ensembl.
UAAUCUUAGAAAUCAAGAAUGGGUGGAGCCUGUUAAAUUAUUUUAGGCGACCCAUACUUGGUUUCAAGGGUUAACAGGGAA